RNAcentral lists this ribosomal RNA (301 nucleotides) under uncultured bacterium. Its description in RNAcentral is "partial 16S ribosomal RNA". It matches the Rfam family "Bacterial small subunit ribosomal RNA", at positions 509 to 809 of the family's 1533-position model. The record is from RNAcentral.
CAGUCGCCACGGUAACACGUAGGGUGCAAGCGUUAAUCGGAAUUACUGGGCGUAAAGCGUGCGCAGGCGGUUAUAUAAGACAGAUGUGAAAUCCCCGGGCUCAACCUGGGAACUGCAUUUGUGACUGUAUAGCUAGAGUACGGCAGAGGGGGAUGGAAUUCCGCGUGUAGCAGUGAAAUGCGUAGAUAUGCGGAGGAACACCGAUGGCGAAGGCAAUCCCCUGGGCCUGUACUGACGCUCAUGCACGAAAGCGUGGGGAGCAAACAGGAUUAGAUACCCGGGUAGUCCCUGUCUCUUAUAA